RNAcentral lists this ribosomal RNA (253 nucleotides) under uncultured bacterium. RNAcentral's name for it is "partial 16S ribosomal RNA". It matches the Rfam family "Bacterial small subunit ribosomal RNA", at positions 524 to 776 of the family's 1533-position model. The record is from RNAcentral.
UACGUAGGGGGCAAGCGUUGUCCGGAUUUAUUGGGCGUAAAGCGCGGGCAGGCGGCCCCGUAAGUCGGCCGUGAAAGCGCCGGGCUCAACUCGGCGAGGACGGGCGAGACUGCGGGGCUCGAGCAAGGCAGAGGGCGGUGGAAUUCCGGGUGUAGUGGUGGAAUGCGUAGAGCUCCGGAGGAACACCAGUGGCGAAGGCGGCCGCCUGGGCCUUUGCUGACGCUGAGCCGCGAAAGCGUGGGGAGCGAGCCGG